UUGAGAGUUUGAUCCUGGCUCAGAACGAACGCUGGCGGCAGGCCUAACACAUGCAAGUCGAAGGAGAAGCUGGACUUCGGUCUGGUGGACACUGGCGCACGGGUGAGUAACGCGUGGGAACCUACCUCAAGGUACGGAACAACCGCUGGAAACGGCGGCUAAUACCGUAUGUGCCCUUCGGGGGAAAGAUUUAUCGCCUUGAGAUGGGCCCGCGUCCGAUUAGCUUGUUGGUGAGGUAAUGGCUCACCAAGGCUUCGAUCGGUAGCUGGUCUGAGAGGAUGAUCAGCCACACUGGGACUGAGACACGG
Molecule: ribosomal RNA, 308 nt
Filed under: Isochrysis galbana
Lineage: Eukaryota; Haptophyta; Isochrysidales; Isochrysidaceae
Description: partial Bacterial small subunit ribosomal RNA
Rfam family: Bacterial small subunit ribosomal RNA
Source: RNAcentral